RNAcentral lists this ribosomal RNA (468 nucleotides) under uncultured bacterium. RNAcentral's name for it is "partial 16S ribosomal RNA". It matches the Rfam family "Bacterial small subunit ribosomal RNA", at positions 28 to 507 of the family's 1533-position model. The record is from RNAcentral.
GACGAACGCUGGCGGCGUGCUUAACACAUGCAAGUCGAACGGAAAGGCCCUGCUUUUGUGGGGUGCUCGAGUGGCGAACGGGUGCGUAACACGUGAGUAACCUGCCCUUGACUUUGGGAUAACUUCAGGAAACUGGGGCUAAUACCAGAUCGGAUAUCCUGCUGCAUGGUGGGGGUUGGAACGUUUCGGCGGUUGGGGAUGGACGCGCGGCUGAUCAGCUUGUUGGUGGGGUAGUGGCUUACCAAGGCUUUGACGGGUAGCCGGCCUGAGAGGGUGACCGGCCACAUUGGGACUGAGAUACGGCCCAGACUCCUACGGGGGACAGCAGUGGGGAAUAUUGCACAAUGGGCGGAAGCCUGAUGCAGCAACGCCGCGUGCGGGAUGACGGCCUUCUGGUUGUAAACCGCUUUCGCCUGUGACGAAGCGUGAGUGACGGUAAUGGGUAAAGAAGCACCAGCUAACUACGUG